RNAcentral lists this ribosomal RNA (134 nucleotides) under Mytilus edulis (blue mussel). RNAcentral's name for it is "partial 16S ribosomal RNA". The record is from RNAcentral. Lineage: Eukaryota; Metazoa; Mollusca; Bivalvia; Mytilida; Mytilidae.
CAGUUUCUAUCCUCUUUUUGAAAUGAGCUAAUUUUGUACGAAAGGACUUUUUCGCUAAAGCAAUGCUUUGUCACAAAUCUGUGUUUGCAUGAAUAAUAGUGUAUAAUAGGUUGAUUAGCCUAUAGAAAGGGUUA